CAGAUAAUGAAGUCUGGACCCAGAGAGGGGGAGUGACGUGCUUGCGGUGCUUUAGCGCAGGACUAGCAGAGCUGGUGGUAAAACCGUGCCUGGCUGGAUGCUUCCAGUUUUACUCAAGUACUCUCAGGUGACUACAGAAGUGUCAGUGCCCACCAUGGUCAGAAAGACGGCAAACAGAGUUCACAUGAAGUUCAUAAGUAUUUGCUUGGCUGCAAAUAAUUUUUUACCAGGUGAUGAUGGAGUAAACCAGACUGUUGAAACAACAUCGAUACAUUCUUUGGCUACAGUUCAGUCGUUUGAGAGAGGUUUGAGAGGCUUUUUAAAAGAAAAGUUCAUGUA
Molecule: long non-coding RNA, 339 nt
Organism: Orcinus orca (killer whale)
Lineage: Eukaryota; Metazoa; Chordata; Mammalia; Artiodactyla; Delphinidae
Exons: 4
Source: RefSeq, a predicted model, not a curated record